Molecule: long non-coding RNA, 1338 nt
Filed under: Betta splendens (Siamese fighting fish)
Lineage: Eukaryota; Metazoa; Chordata; Actinopteri; Anabantiformes; Osphronemidae
Description: lncRNA (ENSBSLG00000022007.1)
Source: RNAcentral
AUGAUGGUUCCUUCGUCUCCAGCAGCUUACCGGCCGCACCGCCCUACUCAGAGCCCCGGUACGGGGGUGGGGGGUGGGCCGGGGCUCUGUCACAACCUGGGAGGGGUCACCACCUCCCCACUCGCGAGCGGGGGAGGAGCUGGGGGCGUAGGAGGGAUGCCGGCUGGGGGAGGGAUGCUGGGGAAUUUCUUUGGCAGCCGCAGAGGGAAAGUUCCUGGUCCCCUGACGAUGACAUCUCCAACUCCUCAGGGUCCACCGAGUCCCCCUGAUGAUAUCAUCACCCCCCCACUACCCCGCCCCCGCACCUCCCAUCCCCCACCCAUCCUCCCCUUCCCCAUGCCCCUCCCCAUCAGCAAACCUCAGUCAAUCGGACUCGGGAGGAGUUGGAGGGGGCGGAGGUACGGGAGGGGUGCCGUCCAAGCUCCAAGCUUUGCACGCCCAGUAUUGCCACGGCAACAGUGGAGGAGGCGCAGUCAGUGUUCCUGGUCACCAGCAGCAGCAGACGCCACCCCCCGCCCUACCAUCAUCAUCAUCGCUACCCACAUGCAGAGCAUGCCGCAGCACCACGCCCUUUCCCAAAGGUUCCCCGUGCCCCGGCGGCAGGGUCCGCCCGGCUGCGCUCCCUCUCAUACCCAGCAGCAUCUGAGGAUGCAACAUGGCGGCGUCCAGCACCCAAGCUACAACAUGGGCCUCGGGCUUCUACUACACGCCCCCGCCGUUGUCCCCCCACUCCCCCGUUACCCCAACUACCCCACACGGACUCUACCACUCGCACCCCAUGGCAGGGGCGGGCCGGGGGGAGGCGCCAAGCUCCCGCUAACCAUGUCACACUCUCAGCCCCACCCCCACGCUCACACGCACUCUCACAACCACGCCAUGCACACACACUCCCCACUCAGCCCCUCCCCAUCCGCUUCCCCCUCCACCCACUUCAUCUUCUCCACCCCACCUCCCCAAACACCUUCAGCACGACUCGUCAGCCAGACACCCCCACAGCCCUACGCCCCUCAGUAUCCGCCCCUCUCCUCCAUCCCACCUCCUCCUCCGCACUCCCCCUUACCUCCCCCCAUUGACCGCCCCACUCUCCCCGCACCCAGGGGCAGGGCCAGGACAAGGGGGUGGCCCCAAAUCGAAGCCCGUCAGCCGGAUCAGCACAGUUGUGUAAAGAAGCAGACACGCAGGACCGUAGUCCGUCACCCCCGUAGGGGGAGGAGGAGAGGGGGAGGCCAAAUACAGGUGUAUCACAGCGGCCGCUUGGGAAGGAGAAGAGCCCUGAUCGCAGGGAGGAGGAAACUACUCAGCCUGUGUUACUUUCACAUCCACUUCCCCCGCAGGUAG